AGACGUAGUAUUUAUGUGGUUCGGUCAAGAUGACCUACGUCCACGGGCAGGAGGGGAGUAUUCUUUUAUUUCAGAGCUCUCAAACAGAGGUUACAAGUACAAUUACACAUAUAUUCACCUAUCACUCUAGAAUUCAAGAUACAAGACACACGACAAAUGACUUUGCAUGCAUCCCUAUUUAUACUUAAGGGAUCAAACCUAAAACCGUAAUGGGCCAAGCCUAUUGGGCCAUAGGCCCAUGAAAGGCGUCAACCAAUCACAAUCCACCAUGCAACAUCUUUUGGAACAUUCAUGAGCAUCAUCAUCUUCUAGGCAUACUUAGAUCAACAUGGCACAACAAAGGAAUCAAUAUGGCGCAUUGUGUACCAAGAUGGUCCAUGAUGACGCAACAAGGCCAUGCAUGGCGCAACAAGAAGCAUCAUUGCGCAAGAGGAAAACAAGAUGAAGCAAGAGGAAGUGCCAUGGCACAAGAGCAUCUUUCUUGGCCCAUCCCUUUAUCAAAUGGCGCAACAAGGACCCACUGUUGCUCCAUUUCCCUUCCAAGUGGCCCAAACCUCUUCCAAGUGCUCCAAACUUCUUCCAGAUGCUCUAAACCCCCUUGUACAUGAUCUGUUCCUUUGGCACUUGAUCAGUUCCUUUGUCUGAUGAUCCAUUCCUCUCUCAUAAGAUCCAUUCCUUUGUCACAUGCUCCAUGAACCCCAAGUGAUCCAUUGAGGCCCAAGAGCUCCAAAUGAUCCAUGAACAUGAUCCAAAUGCUCAAGUCACAUUUAACACAAUGGUUUUAAGGCAAUGGAGAUACCGGGAGAAAAAGAGAAGGCUUUGUGUCCGUCGAUGACCUAAAAGGCUUUAGGUGUUAUUUUUAAUAAUUUUCAAAAAAUUUAUAUGUUGUAUCAAUAAUGUUAGUAAGAAAAUAAAAAGAGGAUAUAAUAUAUAAUUAUCUUUUACAGGCAUUGAAAAGAUGUAGAUUGACGGAGUUAGUCUAACAUACCAUGCUUGCAACUUUUGGAAACCAUGAAAAAUGAGCCGUAUCAAAUUGUUAGAACUUGAACUCAAAACUACAAAUUGGUGUAAACCAUAGGGACCGAAAUUAUAAUCUACUCUAAAUAUUUUUUUAACCACUUUUUUCUUUN
RNAcentral lists this long non-coding RNA (1130 nucleotides) under Lactuca sativa (garden lettuce). Its description in RNAcentral is "long non-coding RNA (LSAT_LNC008137)". Lineage: Eukaryota; Viridiplantae; Streptophyta; Magnoliopsida; Asterales; Asteraceae. The record is from RNAcentral.